GACGAACGCUGGCGGCGUGCUUAACACAUGCAAGUCGAGCGGUAAGGCCCUUUCGGGGGUACACGAGCGGCGAACGGGUGAGUAACACGUGGGUGACCUGCCCUCAGCUCUGGGAUAAGCCUGGGAAACCGGGUCUAAUACCGGAUAUGACUCCAUGACGCAUGUUGUGGGGUGGAAAGCCUUGUGCGGCUGAGGAUGGGCCCGCGGCCUAUCAGCUUGUUGGUGGGGUGANGGCCUACCAAGGCGACGACGGGUAGCCGGCCUGAGAGGGCGACCGGCCACACUGGGACUGAGACACGGCCCAGACUCCUACGGGAGGCAGCAGGUGGGGAAUCUUGCGCAAUGGGCGAAAGCCUGACGCAGCGACGCCGCGUGAGGGAUGACGGCCU
Molecule: ribosomal RNA, 389 nt
Filed under: uncultured bacterium
Lineage: Bacteria
Description: bacterial SSU rRNA
Rfam family: Bacterial small subunit ribosomal RNA
Source: RNAcentral